This is a long non-coding RNA of Pungitius pungitius (ninespine stickleback), 704 nucleotides long. RefSeq lists it as uncharacterized. The record is from RefSeq and is a predicted model, not a curated record. The transcript is spliced from 4 exons. NCBI's taxonomy places the organism in Eukaryota, Metazoa, Chordata, Actinopteri, Perciformes, Gasterosteidae.
ACUAUAAAAUUUGGUAGAACUAAAUUCUGUGUUUAAAUUGAAUAAAUAAAAUGAUUUCUUACUAUAGAUCACGUUACAAAGAUGUUUUCACAAUCCAAACUGCAGUCCGUCAGAAGCACAUCAGGCUGUGAACAUGUGACACAUUCUCAGCUGUGCUGCUUCAUUUAAACCAGGAAGACUCUUCUGAUCUGGUUCUGGUUCUGUUUUACAGAUCUUCCUCUUCACUCUGGCUGGGUGGCUGCUAUUUGCAUUCUCACUGUCAUUGUCUUGUUUGUGGGUCUAUUUUUCUGGCUUCGUAAUCGUCAAAUGAGAAUAAUCAGUGAAAUACGGAGCGUUGCCAGUAGUAUUGCAGCAGUUUCUCCGGAAGAACUUGAACGUCAGUUGCUGGAUCGACUCAACAAGAAAACGCCUUCGGGGGAGACGACGGAAUAACUUUAACCUCUGAAUGUGUGACGAGCAUCUCCUCCAGCUUUGUGAAACCUGACGCUGGAUCGAUUCAGCCAGAAAGCGGCUUUGGGCGAGAAGAUUCUCUUUAACAAUCAAAUCCCAGAAUUCUGCUGGUAGUUUGCAGCCUUAUUGAAGCUUUUUAUGUUUUGGUUCAUGUUACCUGCUUUAAUGCUGAAAGAUUCUCUUCUACACAAGUGUGAUGUUGGAGUGAGAUUAACAAACAAUGAUUGAAUGUUAAUAAGCUUCACACUCAGUUU